UCAUGAGCAGACACCAGUCAGGAACGGUAAGACCCGGCAAAAACGGCCCCACAGUGUCAAAAGAAGAAGUUGUUACGGAGAUAUUGACCGUUCACUUCUUUUGAAUUCAUACAUUGAGAUUUUAAGCUGUGCAAUGGAAAGGCCCGGGGAUCUCUGUUUUGCUGAAGAAGGAUGUAGCAGCAGUAUAGUUCUUGAAAAGCAAGUGUUUCUGUCCAAAGUGCCGGAAUCUCAUGUCCAGCUUGCUUGUGGACUGCAUUACUGUGCUUUCCCUUUGAAUGGAAAUGAGCUUUGUGUUUGGAAAACUACUGAUGACUUUGACCGCCAGCCAUUACAUAUGAUAGGACAUCACCACUCAAUUACUGCACUGGCAUUUGGGAGCAAAGUCAAUCCACUCCUCAUUUGCUCUGCUUCAUGUGACUAUGUGAUCGUGUGGAACCUGGAUGAAUGUAUGAAGAAAGUGCUACAAGGGUUAAUGCCACAAGGCAUUGUUAUAGGAACACUUUUGGGGAUGGUACUUUAUGUCCGAUUUAGUCCAGAUGACCAGACUGUGGCAGUAUGUGCUGGCAAUCAGAUAUAUAUUCUAAGUGCAAAGGAUGAGGCUUUAAUUGCUGAAUUGGAAGGCCACUUGGCUCCAGUGACUGCUGCUGAGUUUUGUACUUGGGAGAAAAAUAUACUUAUAUCAGUUUCUGAAGAUAGAAGCUUUAAGGUGUGGGAUUAUUGUACUGGACUAUUACUAUAUCAAUCAACAGUGAUAACAGCAUUUCCUCUCUUAAGUCUCUUUAUUGAUGAAGAAAAUAAACAGAUUAUCACUGGUUGUGCAGAUGGACAAUUGUGGAUCUUCAGCUUGAUUAAGGGACAUCAGUAUCGAUGUGUUGUACAUAUCAAUGUAAAAAAAGAAAGAGAAAAAUUUUACAGAAAAAUACGGAAAUCUGAACAACUGGAUGAGAUUCAGAAUGCUUCCAAAGUGUAUGUUCCAAAUAAAUUAAGAACAGAAGAAACAGUUGAGACUACCUUUCCUGUUCUCAGAAUUGAGCACUGUGACAAGUUUGUAAAUUUAAGUGAUGAGGAACAAAAUUGUUCUUCAGUAAAUGCUCGAUUCUUGUGGAUAGGAACUUCCACUGGUUUAUUCAUAAUUAAUCUGGCAAAUUUUGAGGUGGAAGCUAUUUUACAUUAUAGAGAUUACAGUGCCCUCAGUAUUCAAUUUGCUGGAUCAUGUGCUUUAAUGAGGAAGGCAAUUAAUGGUAAGGUUUUCUGUUUGCUGACUUCAAUGUUUGAGAAUCGAAUUGCCUUGUUAGAGCUUAAUGUUGCUGCCCUGUUGAAGUCUCAGCAGAGCAAACUUCUUAUAACUGGCAGGGAGAAAGAUCUUUCAGUUGUUGCCAGUUGCUCUCUUCUCCCAACCUCUCCCUUGUGCCUGAAGAAAGAAAGAAAUGAAGAUGUUAACAGAAAAGAUAAGUUCAAUAAAAAGUGCACAAUAAAAGAUAAGCCACUGGUUUUCCACUGCAAAAUUAAGUCAUCAGGCUACACAUCAACACCACAAAUGAACAUGUUUUCUCCAAGGACUACUGCUAAGCAAAGGAGUUUGGCAUCGAAAUGCAAAAGAAAUUGCAAACAAAGAAAAAAGGAAGACUACCCAUUGGGACAUCCUCCUCCAACCAAAUCUGAGAGGUGUAUUACUGUAGCUGAUAAACCAACUUCUAUAUGCUGUAUUCAGUACUCAGGAGAUGGAGAGUUGUUGGCUUGUGGCUUAGCAGACAAAACUUUGCUGGCAUUCAGCUCAAACCUUAAAGGAACACCAACUGUUUAUUCAGGGCACGAUGGGGCUGUUACUUCAGUGGAAUGGAGCCAUGACAAAAACUGGCUAGUUUCAUCUUCUGAAGACAGAACACUAAGGAUAUGGUCAGUCAGCAAUGCAGAGCCUGCUUUAUGUCUGGGUAAGGAGAUGUUUCAUAAACCUAUCAGAUCAGCACAGUUUUAUUAUAUGGAUACCUUUAUAUUGCUGUCUUGUGGAGCAGAGUUUCAUUUGUUGAGAUACUUCCUUGAUACCAGCAAGGAUGAAAUAAAACGGUACAAAAAUAAGAGUUUUUGCAAAUCAAUACAGAAAUUUCCCAUGGAAUCUACUGUAGAAAUCACCAGCCUUGCAGCAGUAAAUGAAUUCUACUCUUAUAUUGUACUGGCAGCUGGUAGUAAUCGAGCUCUAGAAGUAUUUGACCUCAAUUUGGGCUGUAGUGCAGCAGUGAUAACAGAUGUUCAUUCAAGAGCAAUUUACCAGAUUUGCCAAAAUAAGGGGUCAGUUUUUAGCACUCAACAGUUUGGCGCGUACAAUCUUUUCUUAACAACUGCAAUUGGUGAUGGCAUAAAACUCUGGGAUUUGAGAACACUAAGGUGUGAACGCCGUUUUGAAGGACAUAGCACCCAUUGUCAUCCUUGUGGAAUUGCUGUUUCUCCUUGUGGACAGUUCAUUGCCUGUGGCUCUGAAGAUAAAUGUGUAUGCUUAUAUCUAUGAAAUGCAUUCAAGCACCUAUUCCCAUAAGUUGACAGGACACUCAGAGUCUGUAAUCAAUGUGGCUUUUAAUCCUUCAUCUCCCCAGCUCACCACUGCCACUUUGGAUGGCAAACUGCAGUUGUUUCUACCCUGAUGGCAAUCAGCCCCAACACCUAUGGCUCAACUACACUGAGAAUAAAAUCUCCCUGAGGGAACAGAGAAGAUUUGUAAUUGGUCAAGCUGGAACAUAUUUCCAUUAAAAAGAAUCUGCUAGAUUAUUUGUAUCUUCUAUAAAUCCAUUGGGAGUUGCUUAAAGGCUUUUUCAUGGGGAAAAAUCUAACAGCAAAAGUUUGGUAUAAGAAUACUGAGUAUUUUCUAUUCUUACUCCAGUUUACACAUUACAGUAUAUCUGCUUUCACACUUCAAUGAAACUUCACAACAACUAGAAAAUAGUGAAAUGAUUUUGUCAGGUUGGAUCCCACUAUCAGCGUGUCUCUGCCUGUACUGCAUUUUGUACAUUUAUUAGGGAAUAUCAGAUAAGACUUAAGAAAUCUAGUGUUUGCUGGAUAUUUACAAUUUCUGUUCUGGGACUUUAGCAACUGCCCUCACAGCUGGACUUUUUUUUAAAAAAAGAAUUUUUGAGCAGUCAAUUGACAAGUCAGUAAGUUAUUGACUGCUCUAUGAUGUUCUUGCCUGAAUCUUCUAUAAUAAAGUGAUAUUAUACUCA
Sphaerodactylus townsendi is the source of this 3209-nucleotide RNA transcript. It is a transcript of the gene named WD repeat domain 27, with no coding region annotated. The record is from RefSeq and is a predicted model, not a curated record. The transcript is spliced from 25 exons. Lineage: Eukaryota; Metazoa; Chordata; Lepidosauria; Squamata; Sphaerodactylidae.